CUCGGGGCCGAGCGACAGACACCCGGGAGCCGCGGAGCCUGAAAUCUUUUCCCUUGUUUUUUUCACCGACUCUAAUGCUGGUGAUCAUUUGGUGGCAGUGGUCUGGCUGGUGACUCAUCCCAACCUCAGGCGUUUUACAAAUGGGCAGCAUGUCUCAGGUGAAGGGAGAUAGCGUUCAGAAGAAGAGGUAUCCCUGUGAGUGAAAUGAUUUGAAUCCCCAGGUGUCGCGGACGCUGCUGGUCCGGGAAUCCCACUGCAAGAGCCACUCUGCGAGACCACCGAAGACCGAUGAGGGCUCUUCUGGAGCUCACACCUGGCCCAGGGAGAGAGCUAGCAAGGCCUCCGUCUGCUCCCGCUCCAGAUCCGAAGAGAAUCAGAGCCGAGACUGGAUAUCAGACAACUCCACGGAGUGUCCUGGCCGCUGUGCUUUCAAGGGAGAAAGUCAGCUACCGAUACUGUGCUAGGAGGUGGGAGGGGUCAAGAGGCAGCAUCUCAGCACGUGGGGGUUCUUCCCUUUUCGCUUCUUUCAACCCUGAUGACCCACAGGAGCCACUUACAGUUUAGUGCUUGGAAGUCCUCACUACCUUGCUAAAACUCCCUAUUCUCCCUUCUUAACAAAAUGAGAUCUGGCCUCAGCUCAAGGUCUUGCCUGCUAGAAUUGGGAAUGUUUUGGUUUUAUUUGUAUUUCUUUAUGUUUUCUUACCUUCUAUUUAUGACAGGGGAUACUGGUUUUCUAGUAAAUCAUGAUAUAUAGUUUGUUUUUUUGGUUGUUUUUAUUAUUUUGUUUAAGUAAACUCUACACCCAAUGUGGGACUUGAACUCAUGACCCCGAGAUCAAGAGUGACAUGCUCUACUGACUGAGCCAGCCAGGAGCCUAGUUUGCUUUUUUUUUUUUUUUUCCCCAAAGAUUUUAUUUAUUUAUUUAUUUGACAGAGAGAGAGAAAGAGCACAAACAAGGGUAGCAGGAAAGGGAGAAGCAGACUCCCCACUGAGCCCGGAGCCUGAUACAGGGCUCGAUCCAGUAACUCCGGGAUCAUGACCUGAGCCAAAGGCAGUUGCUUAGCCAACGCAGCCACCCAGGUGCCCCUACAGUUUGUUUUUUAAAGUAAAUGUAAGUAAACCUACUGAGUUAAAGCAUAGUAAAUUUAAAAAUACUUUGGUACUUGCAUAUGGCAAAUAGCAUUCAAGUUUACUAUUUUCAAGGCAGGUAAACUGACAUCCAGCAGGAGUCCCCAGAUCCUACAAUGAGUGUCUGGGAUAUUUAAGAAUACAGGCAUCUACGUGCCCUGAGAACCACAGUGUUCUACUUGGAGGUCAAGGGCUAGGAAAGGCCCCCUUUUAACUUUAGGCCCCAUUAACUCUCCUCUUAUGGCUGUUUUCAUAUUAGCCCAUAAAAGUGAGAACUUUUGAAGUUAUUCAUUGUUCCCUUUAAAUUCAGGGCACAAACUGGGCCAUUUUCAGAGGCAAAGGGCUUCAUCCCUGGAGCUAGCAAUAACUGGUAAAAAGGAGAGGAAGGGGUAAAAAUAGAAGUGGAGAGAAAUGUAAGUAGGAAGUAGAAGACCCA
Long non-coding RNA from Ursus maritimus (polar bear), 1564 nucleotides. The record is from Ensembl. Lineage: Eukaryota; Metazoa; Chordata; Mammalia; Carnivora; Ursidae.